UGGGGAAUAUUGCACAAUGGGCGCAAGCCUGAUGCAGCCAUGUCGCGUGUAUGAAGAAGGCCUUCGGGUUGUAAAGUACUUUCAGCGGGGAGGAAGGCGAUAAGGUUAAUAACCUUGUCGAUUGACGUUACCCGCAGAAGAAGCACCGGCUAACUCCGUGCCAGCAGCCGCGGUAAUACGGAGGGUGCAAGCGUUAAUCGGAAUUACUGGGCGUAAAGCGCACGCAGGCGGUUUGUCAAGUCGGAUGUGAAAUCCCCGGGCUCAACCUGGGAACUGCAUUCGAAACUGGCAGGCUAGAGUCUUGUAGAGGGGGGUAGAAUUCCAGGUGUAGCGGUGAAAUGCGUAGAGAUCUGGAGGAAUACCGGUGGCGAAGGCGGCCCCCUGGACAAAGACUGACGCUCAGGUGCGAAAGCGUGGGGAGCAAACA
This 427-nucleotide ribosomal RNA is filed under the name uncultured bacterium. RNAcentral describes it as "partial 16S ribosomal RNA". It matches the Rfam family "Bacterial small subunit ribosomal RNA", at positions 355 to 774 of the family's 1533-position model. The record is from RNAcentral.